Long non-coding RNA from Asparagus officinalis (garden asparagus), 954 nucleotides. RefSeq lists it as uncharacterized. The transcript is spliced from 5 exons. The record is from RefSeq and is a predicted model, not a curated record. Lineage: Eukaryota; Viridiplantae; Streptophyta; Magnoliopsida; Asparagales; Asparagaceae.
GUGAGGAGACUAGCGAAGGAUGAUCCUGAGGCGAGAGAGACGCUGGCGAUGCUCGAAGCGAUCCCUCCAUUGAUUGGAAUGAUCGAUUCUGAAGAUGCCGAGUCGCAGAUCUCGGCGCUUUAUGCUUUGCUUAAUCUUGUGAUCGGAAAUGACUUGAUGUUGAAGGGGUGAUUGAAACCAAAGAAGAGCUCCUAGGCAGUCUGUAGGCAGCUACUGAUGAUGCUUGUAGUAUCAAAUUCUCGGUGCACAUAAUCUUUUAACUUCAGCAAUGAGGGUGGAGACAAUUCUACAGAAACAGAGGAUUCUGUCUGGCAACCUGAGUUGGAAAAGCCUAUAAGAGGUAAAAGGAGUAAGAGCACCUACAAGGAGUUCUAAGGGAUUACAAGACAACAUGAGUUUAAAAUAUCAGGGCAUACGUUUUCCUGGUAGAGAUGAUGAGAGUUUGGCUCCAAUAUUUACCCCGCCCCGUUCAGUUGCAGAGCCAGAAUCUUAUGCCAAUGCAGCUAGUCAGGCUGAUCAUGAUGUCCCUGUUGAGAGUUUUACAGCUGAGCAGAGAAGGGAUGAGCUUGAUGUUGCUCAAAUCAGCUUUGAAAUUCUUUCGACCGUGUUAUCCUCUUCUCUUCAGCAUUUUGUAUUAGGGGAUGACUCGAUGACAUUCCUCGUGCAACGAUUCCGACAAUGUUAACGUACCGUCCAGAGAAUCAUAGAGAUAGCCGAAGACAGCGAAGCUGUAUUGUUCGAAGCACUGAGUAUCAACGACGAACUUCAAAAGACAAUCUCCAAAUAUGAAGACCUAAAAAAACCUCUAGCUGCCCAAACCAAGCGAGAGCAACUUAAGCAUGACUCUAUGUAACGACGAAAUAUUAACUUUUGUUGGUUUGUAUUUGUUGGAUAUUUUGGAUAUCUAGUUUGUUGAAUUGUUAUAUGCAAUAUUCGAAGUUUCUACUUUAUUUA